AUUGAACGCUGGCGGCAUGCCUUACACAUGCAAGUCGAACGGCAGCACGGGUGCUUGCACCUGGUGGCGAGUGGCGAACGGGUGAGUAAUACAUCGGAACGUACCUUAUCGUGGGGGAUAACGCAGCGAAAGCUGUGCUAAUACCGCAUACGCCCUGAGGGGGAAAGCGGGGGAUCGCAAGGCCUCGCGCGAUUAGAGCGGCCGAUGCCUGAUUUGCUUGUUGGUGGGGUAAAAGCCCACCAAGGCGACGAUCAGUAGCUGGUCUGAGAGGACGAUCAGCAACACUGGGACUGGGAGGCGGCCCAGACUCCUACGGGAGGCAGCAGUGGGGAAUUUUGGACAAUGGGGGCAACCCUGUUCCAGCAAUGCCGCGUGAGUGAAGAAGGCCUUCGGGUUGUAAAGCUCUUUUGUCAGGGAAGAAACACCGGCUCUAACACAGUCCGGGAAUGACGGUACCUGAAGAAUAAGCACCGGCUAACUACGUGCCAGCAGCCGCCGUAA
This 501-nucleotide ribosomal RNA is filed under the name uncultured bacterium. Its description in RNAcentral is "partial 16S ribosomal RNA". It matches the Rfam family "Bacterial small subunit ribosomal RNA", at positions 29 to 523 of the family's 1533-position model. The record is from RNAcentral.